This 253-nucleotide ribosomal RNA is filed under the name uncultured bacterium. RNAcentral's name for it is "partial 16S ribosomal RNA". It matches the Rfam family "Bacterial small subunit ribosomal RNA", at positions 524 to 776 of the family's 1533-position model. The record is from RNAcentral.
UACGUAGGUGGCAAGCGUUGUCCGGAUUUAUUGGGUUUAAAGGGUGCGUAGGCGGUUUUGUAAGUCAGUGGUGAAAUACUCUAGCUUAACUAGAGGGGUGCCAAUGAUACUGCGGAGCUUGAGUACAGAUGAGGUAGGCGGAAUUGACGGUGUAGCGGUGAAAUGCUUAGAUAUCGUCAAGAACACCGAUAGCGAAGGCAGCUUACUGGGCUGUAACUGACGCUGAGGCACGAAAGUGUGGGGAUCAAACAGG